This 376-nucleotide unclassified non-coding RNA is filed under the name uncultured Microbacteriaceae bacterium. RNAcentral describes it as "contains 16S-23S intergenic spacer region". Lineage: Bacteria; Bacillati; Actinomycetota; Actinomycetes; Micrococcales; Microbacteriaceae. The record is from RNAcentral.
UCCGGUUUAUCACCGGCAGUCUCCCUAAAGUUCCCGACUUGACUCGCUGGCAACAUAGAACGAGGGUUGUGCUCGUUGCGGGACUUAACCCAACAUCUCACGACACGAGCUGACGACAACCAUGCACCACCUGUAUACCUGCCUUGCGGGAGACUGUUUCCAGCCUUUUCAGGUAUAUGUCAAGCCUUGGUAAGGUUCUUCGCGUUGCAUCGAAUUAAUCCGCAUGCUCCGCCGCUUGUGCGGGCCCCCGUCAAUUCCUUUGAGUUUUAGCCUUGCGGCCGUACUCCCCAGGCGGGGAACUUAAUGCGUUAGCUGCGACACGGAAGCCGUGGAAUGGCCCCCACAUCUAGUUCCCAACGUUUACGGCGUGGACUAC